AUGGCUCAGGAUGAACGCUAGCUACAGGCUUAACACAUGCAAGUCGAGGGGCAGCAUGGAGUUGCUGCAAACUCUGAUGGCGACCGGCGCACGGGUGAGUAACGCGUAUCCAACCUUCCCUAUAGUAGAGGAUAGCCCGGCGAAAGUCGGAUUAAUACUCUAUGUUUCCGUGCAGACAUCUAAGAUGGAACAAAGGCUUGCCGCUAUAGGAUGGGGAUGCGUCUGAUUAGAUAGUAGGCGGGGUAACGGCCCACCUAGUCGACGAUCAGUAGGGGUUCUGAGAGGAAGGUCCCCCACAUUGGAACUGAGACACGGUCCAAACUCCUACGGGAGGCAGCAGUGAGGAAUAUUGGUCAAUGGGCGAGAGCCUGAACCAGCCAAGUAGCGUGCAAGGAUGACGGCCCUAUGGGUUGUAAACUGCUUUUAUAUGGGGAUAAAGUCACCCACGUGUGGGUGUUUGUAGGUACCAUAUGAAUAAGGACCGGCUAAUUCCGUGCCAGCAGCAGC
Molecule: ribosomal RNA, 507 nt
Filed under: uncultured bacterium
Lineage: Bacteria
Description: bacterial SSU rRNA
Rfam family: Bacterial small subunit ribosomal RNA
Source: RNAcentral